AUGCAUGGAUAAACAGAUACAACAUUUACUGCAAUUGCCAAAGAAGCUGCCCAUCACUGUCACGCCAGCUGCACAGUCUUCACUGAGGGAGCUUCCAAGUGCCAUUUUAUUAAUGUGGAGAGAAGAAUAACAGAUCAUAAAUGUUUGAGGUCUAUCCAGCCGGAGUACAGGGGAUUAUCUAUUAUCCUGUGAGCUCGUGUUUUAUUCAUCUUCGUGUUCCCGUGAAUUAUACAGUGCAAAAACUGCUUAGAAGGCUUCCCCUCCUAGACAGCCCAACAGCACCUCAACCUCAGCCGGAAUGAAACUGAAUGUGUUACUGCGCACCCAAACAGAGCUUCUCUUCCUGCUUUCUCUCUCCUGGCGCAGUGGCUCACACCUGUAAUCCCAGCACUUUGAGAGGCCAAGGCAGGAAGAUCCCCUGAGGUCAGAAGUUCGAGACCAGCCUGGCCAACAUGGCAAAAUCCCAUCUCUACUAAAGGUACAAAAAUUAGCUGGGUGUGGUGGUGGGCACCUGUAAUCCCAGCUACUCAGCAGGGUGAGGCAGGAGAAUCGCUUGAACCCAGAAGGCAGAGGUUGCAGUGAGCCAAGGUCACACCACUGCACUCCAGCCUGGGCAACAAGAGUGAGACUCCAUCUCAAAAAAGAAAAGAAAAGAAAAAGAGUUCUUAUCCCAUUGUAUUAAAGGCAAAUAUUUGUAUACUACUUAAGGGCAGGGCUGUUGCCUAAUUCAAUUCUCUCUUCAGCACCCAAGACUUUAUACAUAAUAGGCACUCUUUAAACAUUUACAUAAAUUAUACAUAUUUUAAACACAAAAUGAUUGAAUUUUAAAAUGUGUUUCCAACUUAAGGGCAGGGAUGUUGCCUAAUUCAAUUCUCUCUUCAGUACCCCAGACUUUAUACAUAAUAGGCACUCUUUAAACAUUUACAUAAGUUAGAGUAUACAUAUUUUAAACACAAAAUGAUUGAAUUUUAAAAUGUGUGUCCAGCCUGGACAACAAAGUGAGACUCCAUCUCUACAAAAACAAAAACAAAAAAAAAAACACUUUUAAUUAGACAGGUGCAGUGGAACGUGUCUGUAGUUCCUACUCGAGAGGCUGAGGCAGGAGGAUCACCUGAGCCCAACCUGGGUGACAGAGUAAGACUCCAUCUUAAAAUACAUAUAUAUAUUUUAAAUGUGUCAAUGCUGGAAGAUUUUUGCUUCUCUAUUCUCAACUGCAUGAGUACAGUAACUCUACUUAUAGAAUCUGACAACUGGCAUUUGAAAGACAUAUAAAUACAUAUAUACCAAUAUAUAGGGGCAUGUGUAUGUGUCCCAGAAACUUACAAUCAAUUUCAUUAUGGCAUGGUUACACUUUACACACAAAAAGUAGGUUGGCACUUGACAGGUGUAUGUGGAUAUACAUGAUGAGAUUUAAAGAGCCCAAGAUGAAGAUAUAAGUCUCAACGUUCCUUUAAAUGAGAUUAAAAUAAUUUUUCCUCACUUUAGUUUUAUUUCUCUUUUGUAUAUCAAAACUUUUGCCUAUAGAAAUUUCUUGAAAUCAGAAGUUUAAAGACUUCUUUGGUCAAUGAUUGGUGAAUGGGUUAAAGUGCUCUACAGCAUUUGGCUUACCAACCUGGAUGCCUAGCUUACCAACAUUGAUUCCAUUUGUUGAAGCUGUUGGACAACUAAUGGCUAUUAAGUCUAUCACGAUGACCUUCAAAGUCUUUUAUUUUUUCCCCUUAAAGCUUCAAACUGGAAAUUUUUGUGAGCUACUUUGAGAUAUU
RNAcentral lists this long non-coding RNA (1763 nucleotides) under Homo sapiens (human). Its description in RNAcentral is "HSALNT0115576". Lineage: Eukaryota; Metazoa; Chordata; Mammalia; Primates; Hominidae. The record is from RNAcentral.